This 318-nucleotide long non-coding RNA is filed under the name Vigna radiata. RNAcentral describes it as "long non-coding RNA (VRAD_LNC001523)". Lineage: Eukaryota; Viridiplantae; Streptophyta; Magnoliopsida; Fabales; Fabaceae. The record is from RNAcentral.
AACAAAGAGAAGAAAACAUAAGAGAUCAAACAUGCACACGAGGCGUCCAACUCCAGAAUUUUGGCACUCAACACAGAACUGCUUGUCUAGCAAUCUAACCCUUAGCGUCCAACGAUAGCACAAACAGAGAGCUUUCCCAACCCAACGAGAAAUCUCGCCCAACCUUUGAAACUGACUACCAAACAUCAAUAUUUACUCGUCCAACAACCCUCAAACCUGCCUAACUAGUCUGCAAAAUUAUGCAAAACAUCAAUUAUGUAGAAUUUACACCCCUCAACCUUAAAUGUUCUAACUCUCACACCUCCCUAUGCAUCUACA